RNAcentral lists this ribosomal RNA (441 nucleotides) under uncultured Oomycota. RNAcentral's name for it is "LSU rRNA". It matches the Rfam family "Eukaryotic large subunit ribosomal RNA", at positions 165 to 609 of the family's 3401-position model. The record is from RNAcentral. Lineage: Eukaryota; Oomycota.
AGCAUAGCGAUUUGGGAUAAGUCCCUUGGAAGAGGGCAGCAUGGAGGGUGAUACUCCCGUCUCUGCCCAGGUUGUCUGUGUGUACGACACGCUUUCUUUGAGUCGAGUUGUUUGGGAAUACAGCUCAAAGUAGGUGGUAAAUUCCAUCUAAAGCUAAAUAUAGGUGCGAGACCGAUAGCGAACAAGUACCGUGAGGGAAAGAUGAAAAGAACUUUGAAAAGAGAGUUAAAGAGUACCUGAAACUGUUGAAAGGGAACCGUAUCGUUUCCAGUGUUUUAUCCUGUGCAUAUUUCAUUAGCGGAGCAAUUUGCUGGUGCCCUGUGCAUGGGUGUGACGUCAGAGUCAGUUUGUAUGCUGCGGGAGAUGGUUAGUGAGGAGGUGCGUCACUUCGGUGAAAGUUAUAUCUCGCUGUCUAGUAGCCGUGGUUGAGACUGAGGUGCC